Molecule: long non-coding RNA, 1156 nt
Organism: Gadus macrocephalus (Pacific cod)
Lineage: Eukaryota; Metazoa; Chordata; Actinopteri; Gadiformes; Gadidae
Exons: 2
Source: RefSeq, a predicted model, not a curated record
UCUGGUGUCUGUGUGUGGGUGUAUAUGUGUGUGUGUGUGUGUGUGUGUGUGUGUGUGUGUGUGUGUGUGUGUGUGUGUGUGUGUGUGUGUGUGUGUGUGUGUGUGUGUGAGUGUGUGUGUGUGUGUGUGUGUGUGUGUUGUGUGUGUUAGAAUAAAUAAAUUAUGUUUCUUUAUGAUGUGUUUCAUGAUCCCAAAUCUAGAAUUGAUGUUGUUUGAAGAUGCAGUGAUAGCUUCUAAACAAAGGAACCAUUUAUUUUUGUCCGUGGUGAGUGAGCCAGCCUCCACAGGUAGUAUUUUUUUAGAGCUAAAUCUUUUAUUGUAAGCUAAAUAUAAAUGUAUCAAAAUUAGUGUUUAGUGUUUCAUUUGACAUGCAGCAUGUUUUCAAGCCGUAUAAGAUGAUUAUCCGUUCUUGUCUGGAAGCUUGCCUCAACUUUCCGCAGAGUAUGGCGUGCAUGGGCAGGGGGGGAGCCUUUUAUAGUUUGCAUGGGAAUAAUGACCACAGGCCUUGAACCCCAGGGGUUGUAAACAUAAUAUCCGGAUCGCCUGGCAGCAAAACAGUUGACUGUUUUCUUGACAUGCAUCCGCAUCCUAUACUGUGAGGGACUCCUGCUACACAAACAUCAGGAAGUAUGGCCAGCCGCAGUGUAUAGGAGCAGGGCCUUUUUUUUUUUUAAGAUGUACAAUGAGGUGAGAAGAGGAAGAGAGAGAGAGAGAGAGAGAGCGCUUUGGAUUUUUGAAGCGUUUGAUGAUGUUCUAUGUGAUCGUUAGAGUUAGACUUGAAAUGUGCUGACUCAAUUUUCGUAGUUUUGGAAACACUUUUUUACAAUGUUUUUCUACAAGGCCAAGAGGAUGUGCCUUUCCAAUGGCCUUUGCGUUUCUCAAGACCUCUGGUAAAAUAAAAUUUAUUUAUUUAUUUUCAGAUUUAUUGUAAAACUGGGAUGAAUCGCCCUGAUAAACUCUUUGGAAGGACACAGAAAAUGCUUUAAUACACAAAUAUGUGAUAUUAUUAUUAGGGGUGGGAAAAAUAAUCGAUUCUUCGAUGCAUCGCGAAUCUCGCUAGAACGAUUCUGUCUCGAUGCAGAUAAAUUAAUAAUCAGAAUUAAAAAGAUGAAAAGAUUUUUCUUUUUUUUCUUUUUAUUGCCUGCUGCAACAUUCU